Molecule: ribosomal RNA, 253 nt
Filed under: uncultured bacterium
Lineage: Bacteria
Description: partial 16S ribosomal RNA
Rfam family: Bacterial small subunit ribosomal RNA
Source: RNAcentral
UACGAAGGGGGCUAGCGUUGCUCGGAAUUACUGGGCGUAAAGCGCACGUAGGCGGCUUUUUAAGUCAGAGGUGAAAUCCUGGAGCUCAACUCCAGAACUGCCUUUGAUACUGGAGAGCUUGAGUCCGGGAGAGGUGAGUGGAACUGCGAGUGUAGAGGUGAAAUUCGUAGAUAUUCGCAAGAACACCAGUGGCGAAGGCGGCUCACUGGCCCGGUACUGACGCUGAGGUGCGAAAGCGUGGGGAGCAAACAGG